GUGAGGAAUAUUGGUCAAUGGACGGAAGUCUGAACCAGCCAUGCCGCGUGCAGGAAUAAGGUCCUAUGGAUUGUAAACUGCUUUUAUUCGGGAAUAAACCUCUUUACGUGUAGGGAGCUGAAGGUACCGAAGGAAUAAGCACCGGCUAACUCCGUGCCAGCAGCCGCGGUAAUACGGAGGGUGCAAGCGUUAUCCGGAAUCAUUGGGUUUAAAGGGUCCGCAGGCGGGCUAUCAAGUCAGAGGUGAAAUCCCACAGCUUAACUGUGGAACUGCCUGUGAAACUGAUGGUCUUGAAUUAAGUGGGCGUUGGCGGAAUAUGACAUGUAGCGGUGAAAUGCAUAGAUAUGUCAUGGAACACCGAAAGCGAAGGCAGCUAACGAUACUUAUAUUGACGCUCAUGGACGAAAGCGUGGGUAGCGAACAGGAUUAGAAACCCGGGUAGUCC
This 445-nucleotide ribosomal RNA is filed under the name uncultured bacterium. RNAcentral's name for it is "partial 16S ribosomal RNA". It matches the Rfam family "Bacterial small subunit ribosomal RNA", at positions 354 to 796 of the family's 1533-position model. The record is from RNAcentral.